This 1326-nucleotide long non-coding RNA is filed under the name Vigna radiata. RNAcentral describes it as "long non-coding RNA (VRAD_LNC008842)". The record is from RNAcentral. Lineage: Eukaryota; Viridiplantae; Streptophyta; Magnoliopsida; Fabales; Fabaceae.
UAACAAUUACUAGGAUCAUACGCAUGCUUUUCUCUUAGCAAUAUUAGUUGUUUAACAUGGAAAUCAAUUUACAACGAGGUCCUUGGAAAGAUAAUAUAUAUCUUUUUUAUUAUAAAAGAUAUAUCAUUAUAAAAGUAUAUCAGGGAACCUUUCAUUGGAUUCUUUGAAAAACGUAUUUUCCUGUGUAUAUUCCUAUGAAUGAAAGGUAACCUUUGAAGUAAUUCUUAGAUCAUAACUGUAAUUGGUUGAAAGUGAAUGCAUGUUGCAAAUACUUUAUUGCCAAUACUUUACGACUUAUAAAGGGCACGAUCAACGAGCCACUGUUAGGGAUAAUUUUAGAAGUUUCAUCCUUCAAAUUUUAUUUAUAUGAAUCACUUCUUCUCACUGUAUGAUUCACUGCUGGUCUUUGAAAGUCGUAAAACAGGGUAUCUUCAAGUAUCUUGAUCUCAAUCCCUUUGCUUCCGAUCCCACCGUCAUAGUUGCUGCAAAAAAAAAAAAAAAUUAUUUUUGGUCAUCUCAGGCACCCUUAAGUGCGAAGAAGCGCCAUCCCCAACACCCAAGAAUGGGUUUCCUCUUCGCCCAACGUCAGGGCCGGUCUUGCUGAUGCGCAGAGGGCUCUAGCUGAGGCCUCCAGACCCCGCUCCUCCGCCGCCAACCCCUUCGGCGAUGCAUUCUGCAUUCUAAGGGCCCGAGACGUGGACCCGGCUCACGGCAGACCUCUCAACUACGGCUUACCUCCAACAACUGGAUUUCGUGAAGAUGAUACAGGAUAUCCAGAGAGACCCUAAUAAAUUAAAACUGCGUUUGAAUAACAAGAGUUAUCCCUCAGAACGUCUUUAUGGUCAUCAUCUUCAUCAUCAGAAACUUUGAAAUUUUGCAGAAGCUAUACCGAGAAGAGAAUUAUGUUUGCGGUGCCACCGAGAUCAAGGAACACCUUGAUUGGAGGCUACGCUCGUGCCGAAAAUUUCACUCGUGCAAUUUCGCUUUUAAAAGAGAUGCAAAAUCAUUGACAUCACUUGUCAAAAAUAUAAAAAUAUUAUUUUCAUAAAAUUUUGAAUUUGAUAGGUGUGAAGAUAUCAUGCAACAGGUUUCUCUUCUACCCUUUGAUGAGAUGAUUUGACUAUGGAAUCUACAAGCGGACCGUUGAUUGACUCGAACUUGGAUCAUUUACAUUCAAGAUGUUAAAUUUUAUCACGCAAUCUUAUUAGGUUAUAAUGUCAUCUUAUUAUAGAAGUAAAAUAUUAAAUAUUUUAUUUAAAGUAUAUUUUUGUGAACAAAAAUAUCCUUUACAGGAAGGUUUAAACUAACAUCCAACCUUAUCAGUUC